This 1657-nucleotide long non-coding RNA is filed under the name Capsicum annuum. Its description in RNAcentral is "long non-coding RNA (CANN_LNC003841)". Lineage: Eukaryota; Viridiplantae; Streptophyta; Magnoliopsida; Solanales; Solanaceae. The record is from RNAcentral.
GCACCCUCACUCCCGCUUCUGUCGACAUUUUCCAAUGACCCAUGAACUUCCACCAAAAGAGAAAUUCCAUCACCAUCGACACCAUUUCCAACUUCCGGACUCUCCUGCUCGAUAAUAACACCAGUAUCCACAUUUCCAUUAUCACCAGAAACCCUAGGCCCCUCAUCAGGUAACCCAGGUCCAGGACCAGUACCACCAGUAUCAGCCAUUAGGGUUUCAGAAUCAACUGCUUCAGCUGGGAUUUUGUUCUUCUCUACGUUUUCGUCACUCGACAUACCCAAAAACACUAAAAUUUCUGCAAAAAUGAAGAAAAAUCAAAACACCUUAGCUCAGAAAAAAAAUUCCAAAAUUACAUAAAACACACAAUCACAUACACAAAAAUAAAGCACCAUAAAGAAACGGACAAAACAAUCAAAGAAUAAAAUUUCAAUAAACCUAGGGUUUCGGGUUCCAUUUUUUGCAGUCCUGAAAAGGCAUGUAUACGAACACGAUAACAUAACAGGGAAAACAAUCGAAAAAGAAAAAAAAAAAAGAAGAAGAAGAUGACUACGAUAUACCACAACAACAUACACUAUAAUCACACAAGUGUGGUGUAAAAUAUACGCAGACCGUAAACUACCUCAUAGAAUUAAAAAGAUCAUUUUCGAUAGACCCUGAUAUUAAAUAAAAGGAAAAAAAAAAAAAACACAAAGGGAGAAAGGUAACGUACCAGAACAGAAGGGAAUUCGCAGAGUUGUAAAAUGAAAAUUGUAGAAAUCGCAGAGAGAGUAUAUAGGGGGGGUGCCUUUGUUUUGGACAAAUAUGUACAUGUACUACGGGACUAUUUGUUUCUAUAAACAGUCAAGAAGAGAGCUGGACGGUUGAGAUGUAAUAUAUUCAGGAUUGUUUCAUUAACUCUUUGAAACGAAAGUGAGAGUGAGGUGGACGGUCGAGAUGUAACGUAUGAAAUGAAAGGACUUCUAAAUAAAAAUUUCCAGGGAUGUACGCGGUAAUUUUUGGGAAUCUUCUUGAAUUUUGAAUCAUCUAAUAUUUACCUCUCUCUUUCCCCUCCUGCUCGAUAAUAACACCAGUAUCCACAUUUCCAUUAUCACCAGAAACCCUAGGCCCCUCAUCAGGUAACCCAGGUCCAGGACCAGUACCACCAGUAUCAGCCAUUAGGGUUUCAGAAUCAACUGCUUCAGCUGGGAUUUUGUUCUUCUCUACGUUUUCGUCACUCGACAUACCCAAAAACACUAAAAUUUCUGCAAAAAUGAAGAAAAAUCAAAACACCUUAGCUCAGAAAAAAAAUUCCAAAAUUACAUAAAACACACAAUCACAUACACAAAAAUAAAGCACCAUAAAGAAACGGACAAAACAAUCAAAGAAUAAAAUUUCAAUAAACCUAGGGUUUCGGGUUCCAUUUUUUGCAGUCCUGAAAAGGCAUGUAUACGAACACGAUAACAUAACAGGGAAAACAAUCGAAAAAGAAAAAAAAAAAAGAAGAAGAAGAUGACUACGAUAUACCACAACAACAUACACUAUAAUCACACAAGUGUGGUGUAAAAUAUACGCAGACCGUAAACUACCUCAUAGAAUUAAAAAGAUCAUUUUCGAUAGACCCUGAUAUUAAAUAAAAGGAAAAAAAAAAAAAACACAAAGGGAGAAAGGUAACGUACCA